RNAcentral lists this long non-coding RNA (1040 nucleotides) under Sus scrofa (pig). RNAcentral describes it as "lncRNA (ENSSSCG00065056280.1)". The record is from RNAcentral. Lineage: Eukaryota; Metazoa; Chordata; Mammalia; Artiodactyla; Suidae.
AUGCAGCCUCAAAAGAAUGACAAGAAUAAGAAGCAGGAAGACUUCCGGCCUUCCUGCUUCUUACUGCUACAUUUCUUCUUAAACAGGGGGAUCAUUUUGAAAGAAAGCACCCUCUUGCAAGAUGAGGACAAUUUUCAACUCCAGGUUUUGGUCUCCUAUCAAGAAAAGGAUAUGGGGGUUUUAAUGAGACUGAUGAAACUACUCAGGAAGAUAAGAAAUCCCAACAAGUUUGAACACAGCUUGAUACACCAACGGUCAACCUUAUUUGGCUCCUAAAUUCUGUUUUUCUUCAUUUGGAUCUCUACCUUUUCAUCUGUCAUUGCUGCACAGACUUUAAAUUCAGUGUCAAAUCUCAAAUACAUUGCUGAUAAAAAAAAUCUUUAGUUAUAUACAUAGGUUUCUAACCUUAGUCAUGAUUUGUUUUCCCUUUUGUACAUGAUAGUAUUGAAAGGAGUGACUUAGACAUAGGUUUAUAGAAAGGACUUAGAAAUUCAGAAAAUUUCCCAAGGCUACUAAACCUGCUUAAACCCCCCAAGAAUUCCCUCUUACGUAUAACCUCCAUCUUCCUUUAAAUUUAACGAACAUAGUUUAAAUAUUCUUUGCAAGGCCCUUCUCUCACUUUUAGCCAUUAUAUUGGAACAACUUUUUUUUCCUUACACUUUUUCAAAAUUCUAAGUCACAGAAAAAUUUGUGGCUCGCCUAUUUGAAAAUUCUACCGAAUUUAUCAAGAGCUAAAAUCAAUCCAAAGGCAAAACAAAAACAGCCAAAUGUAGAAAAUUAUCAAACUAUUUUUUUUCUUUUUUCUUUUUGAAGUCAGUCAUUCUAGUUAUCUUUGAAACUCUAUACCAUGAUAUCUGUAACCAGUUCACUAGGAGCCUUGAUUGCUCAUCUUCCUUUUCAAAAACCAAGAAAUUCCAUUAUUUUCAGGGACUCCAACAUUCUUCUGAUGUUUUCAAAAUGGAAAAUCAUCCCAUCUUUUAAAAUAAUAUUGUAACUAUAUCACGGGAUACUUUAAAAUAUACAUAUAAACAUAUUAUAAA